This 278-nucleotide unclassified non-coding RNA is filed under the name Hevea brasiliensis (rubber tree). Lineage: Eukaryota; Viridiplantae; Streptophyta; Magnoliopsida; Malpighiales; Euphorbiaceae. The record is from RNAcentral.
AUAUCAUUGACAUUCAUUUGACAUCCAUAAGUUUCAUGAUAGAUGCGUCCUCUAGGCAUAACGUCAGAUAUCAUCACAGACUCCUGCUGAACAUCGGAAGAAGAAACAGUCUGAGUAGCUUUGGGUAUGAAGUCACGGAGGGUUGGAAUUUGGUUCUUGCUGGUUAAGGAAGUGCGGGAGUGACACUGCGAGAAAUUCCUGGAUAUCUUGAUAGAGAAUGUAGAACUCCUCCCAAGAGAAACUGAGGUGCGGCGGGAGGAGGUUGAUUGAACUUCAAG